Molecule: long non-coding RNA, 236 nt
Filed under: Pelobates cultripes (western spadefoot toad)
Lineage: Eukaryota; Metazoa; Chordata; Amphibia; Anura; Pelobatidae
Source: RNAcentral
CUCCAACUGAAGUAAUGGGGUAGUUGAGAGUUCAGUCUUGAUGCAAAUAAGUCCAGUUGUAACGGGCCCCAUAGUUGAUCUAUCUGUCGAAAGAUCGAAGGCAGCAGGUGCCAAUCUCCCUAGUCUUUCAAGUAGCGCGAAUUCCAAUCCGCCCAUUCGUUGUCCAAGCCCGGGAUGUGUUCGGCCAUAACCGACACCGCGUUGUGGAGGCAAAACUGCCAGAAGUCCUUUGCCAG